UCAUAGUGAUGACUGCUAUGCUAAUAUUGAGAAAACUUUAGGUUUUCGCUGAGUAAAACUCCAUUGUACUUCUCACUUUAUACACUGAAUGAU
This is a small nucleolar RNA of Anopheles cruzii, 93 nucleotides long. The record is from RefSeq and is a predicted model, not a curated record. Lineage: Eukaryota; Metazoa; Arthropoda; Insecta; Diptera; Culicidae.